Molecule: long non-coding RNA, 5413 nt
Organism: Pongo pygmaeus (Bornean orangutan)
Lineage: Eukaryota; Metazoa; Chordata; Mammalia; Primates; Hominidae
Exons: 6
Source: RefSeq, a predicted model, not a curated record
UCCUGCAGAAUAAAGCCAGACCAGCUGGCUUUGAAGAGAAACCCCCCAGUUUGGGCUGCGUUUGCCUCCUCUCCUUUUCUAUGAAGACCGAGGCUUUGCCCCCUUGAUCGUCAAGCCGUGAGAUGCGUGAUCUCUCUGCACAAGUGUCUGGCAGGCCGAGGUGCACCUGUUUCUGUCACUCUGGAGUAAAUUUAGCUGUAAAGGGCACCACUUUAAGAUAAAAACAUAGACCUGAAUGGCAUCAUCCAGUAUCCAAGGAAACCAUUGUGUCUGUAACCAGCUAAUGAGCUGCAACAGAGCCUGGCCUUCAUUUUCAGCAAAUUAAGUUCAUCCCUCAUAGGAAUUGUGGUCUGGCUGUGGCACCGCUCCUAGUAGAUGAUCUGUCUGGGGAUGCCGGCAAGUGCUCUCAAGAGAAAAUGUAUUCUGUUUCAUCCAGGUUCUCUAAACAUGAGUAUGCCUUUGGGGGAAGACAGAAGAACAUGGAAGCCACGUGAAAAAACAAACAGAUCCUAAGGUAUAAACAAAGUGCAGAUGAUUGUCGGCCAUGCUGCAGGGAUUUCUUGUUUGUCUUCUCAGUAGUGUUAGCUAAUUUUGUCUUCCAAUCCCCAAUUCCUUAUAGGACCUGGGCCCUUUGAACCUCUCAGGACCCCUCAGAUUCUAGUAUAUAAACUCGGAGCCAAAUUCACAGCCAGCUCUCCUUCAAACUGCCUUAUCUGUUUUUCAGUUAAUUAGAAGGGCCUUUUAACAGCUUUCCAUUUGAGUCCUAAGAAAAGCCCAAUUCAUUAGGCAAUAGAGCCACCGUGCUGGCCCCUAAUCAAGGUCAGUACAUAUCAUUAUACGACUGAUCCAAAUUUGAGUUGGUUCAGUUAUUUCAUUUGUUCAUUGUCCACAAUGUUUCAGUCACAGUACCAGGUGCUCAGAGUGUGGUGUUAGAGACAAGAUUCAAAGUAAGUAAUUUUAGACCAAUGUCAUAUGUGCCAUUAUAGAAGUAUGGCUGAAAAUGGAAUUUAUAUAAAUAAGCAUGUUGGGCAAGAAACAGGGUUGGGCAAGAAAGACCUUACAGAAGAGAUGAAUAUCUUAGCGAAUAUCUUAGCAGGAUUUCAAAGAAUGGACUAGAGUUUUGCAGGCAGAUGAGAUAGGAAGGGUGCCAGAGAGAAAGGAAAGCAUGGGCAAGGGAUCAGGAGGUGGGGAACAAUGUGAUAUAGUUUGAGGUACUGGAGUAUAAAGUUAACAAGAGGAGAAUAUUUAGAAAGAAGGAUGGAGAAGUAGGCAGAGAGCAGAUUAUCAGGUUAAGGUAUUAGAAAUUAGUAUUGAAGUUUACUAGAAGCCAGCAGCACAUUCAGUGCAAGCAGGUGCCAUGGUUAUAUUAGUUUUAGUUUAGUAAUCAGUGUAGAAGAUGGAUGAGAGGGGGUGAGUCUGGAGGCAAUAAGCAUAGUUGGUAGUAGCAGUCUAGAUGUCACCUGACAGGCGCCUUUACUAGCCCAGUGGUGGGCAUUUUUUAUGCAUCAGUCUUUCUUCUAGUCUGUGAAUUUCUUAUAACGAGGGUGUGGUCUUCCUCACACUUGUUUCUUCACACUUGUUGCCUACUGUCAUACCUGACAUGCAGCAAAUUAUCAUAGCAAGACAAAAAAUCUUUUAAACGUGUACUCUUUAUUACUCUGUUGGACCAUGAUGAGAGUAUCUUAUUGUAUGGCUAUUUAAAAUUAUUUAUGAAGAUAAUAUUUUUUGUGUUGGAAAUGCUACAAUAAUUUAAUUGUGAGAUUUAUAAAUAAGACUUAUUGUUCACAUUUGUUUGACGUUUUCAUAUAUGUGAUGAAAUAGACAAUUUACUCUGUAAGUCUUAAAUAUAAAAAUGAUUCAUUAUUUCUUUCUGAGCCAGGGAUAUACUUGAAUUUUUUUUCUCCAGUAGUAGCAAUAGAUGUAUACAAAUUAACAUAUAUUUCUCAUUCCAUUCUUGUAUAAAAUAGCAUACACAACUAGUUUGAACAGCUAGAGCAUAAUAAACUCAAACUCUUUAUGGAUUCACUCUUUCCCUGCCACAAUUGAAAUAUUAGGUAAGUUCUAUAUCUUUUUCAUCUCCUUUUGGACAAUAAAAGAAGUACUCUGGCCACUUACAGUCAGAACCCCAUUUAGGUAAUUAAAGUGACUAGUCCAUGCAAUAAUCAGUAAUCUCAGGUUCCUGUAAAUUUAAAAGCUUUCAUUUCCCAUGUUGGUUCCACUGCCAUUCCCCUAACCACUGGCUCUGGGUUUUUCACUGUUCCUUGGUGGAGAAACAGGGAGGAGAGGCAAGGGCAGGGAUGCCAGUAGUCUGCAUUGGCUUGUUGCAUUAGGUUGGUGCAAAAGGAAUUGCAGUUUUUGUCAUUACUUUAAAGUCAAAAACCGCAAUUACUUUUGCACCAACCUAAUAUGCUCUCAGCUGAUGUGGGACACUCUUUGGGUUCUGCAGAAAUUCCCUCACUAGAGCCAUCUAGUCUCUUUCUCUCUGUUUGUUUGCUUCAGUAGCUCCUCAGCUUCUACAUCAGUUAGUACCCCAUAGCUUCUUUAUGCCAAGGUUGCCUCAUCCUCAGAAAAAAAAAUCCUUUUAAAGGAAACUCUUACCCAGAUGUCAUCUAAAGAGCCCACACUGGGUCAUGGAAACACCAACCUCUGCUUUAUUGUCUGUGGAAGUGCAGCUGGCUCCGAGGACAGCUGUAUCUCUUUGCAUUGCCUCUAAGUAGGCAACUCCAGCUAUAGAGUCUUUUGCCUGAAAUUUCUCAAAGGUAGACUAAACACGUGUCUCCUCUGUCCUCCAAGCUUUAGGGAAUCAACAUUAAGCUCUCUAUGAGGUGUUCUUGAUGCCUCUCUUACAGAUGAGGGAGAUGAAAAGUAGCAACAGCCUCCAACAACAUUCUACAGAGAAAUUCUUAUGUCUCUCAGUUUCCUCAAUAUCAACUGUUUCAGACCCUUGAGUAGAUGUUGAGUCACUAAGCAGUUUCAGUCCACUUCCUUUCAGGUCUUGUUUAGGAGGUCCAUUGCCUUAUUUUAGAAUGUGGGAGAAUUUGCUACCUAUUGUUUCCGUUUUGAUUUUGGGGGCCUCCCCCAAAACUCAGAUAGAAAGAAUCUUUCCUUAAUACCUUGUUGCAGAGACAAGUGUAAGAUAUCUGUAAAUCAUGGCCAUAAACUAGAAUAAAAUGAGUUGGUUUAUUGGAGAUGUAAAUGCUUAACCUUGGCGUACAAUAAGCACAAUAUUGAUGUACAACAAUACUGAGCAUCACUUUACAAUGUAAAAUCAAACAGAAAUCAGUAAAAUCAACAAAAAUUGCUUACCAUCUCCUAAAUGCCGGUUUAUUCCAGGUGCUCGAUGUGCAAAAAUUAAGCACAUGAUUUCUUUCCUCAUGGAGCUAGCUAUCUAACGAGAGACUAGAUUGCUGAAAUAUGUUCAAAAGUAAUCACCAUACAACUUAACAUCACAAUGGAAAGUUCUACAAACACUUCAGGGCACAUGGAAGAUGGAGUAUCUGAGUUUAAGAAAGUCUUUGCAAAGGACGUUUGAAGAGGCUCUUGAAUGAAGAUAGGACUUCUCUAGGAAGAAAGGAGGAAAGGGCAACCCAGAUGCACAAUGGGAUGUGUAAGGGUUGGAUAGGGAAGGUUAGGAUGGUGUGGUGUGGGAACUGUGAAGAAAGUGUAGCUGGUACAUAAGGCUGGAGCAGUUACAAGAUAAUUGGGAAAUUGCAACGACUGUUCUAAGCCAAAAAGUUUAAACUUCCUACAGACAAUAGGAAAUUAUAAUUAUUACUAUUUUUUACUUUUCAAGUGUUUACAUAAAAAUAUCACACAUAUUUUACAUCAAUAUAUAAAGAUGAUCAUACAUACUGUUUUUCCUCUUCAUUUUUAAAUUGGCUCCUGCCUCCCACUUUUCUCUUUCCUUCCUGUCUUAUCCCCCUUCUCUACCCACAUCUUUCCUUCCUCAACUCAUGUUAACACUUAUUUUGUAUCCUUUCUUUGUUUUCUCCUUGGCUAUAUAAUUAUAUUCAAGCAUACAGUAUAUGUAUAUAUUCAAUAUCCAUAUACAUAGGGUUUUUUUGGCCAUUGUUUGCUUUAUAAAAGAAUACUUUGCAUAUUUUUCUGCAUCUUGCUUUUUUUUUACUUGACUAUUCUUAGAGGAAAUGUCUCCAAGUCAACAGGGCUAGCUCAUUGCAGGCUUUUAAAUGACAUAAUCAGAAUUUUAUAUCUGAGAUACGAUGUUAGAGUGGACAAUGAGUUUAAAAGGGGAUAGAAACUGGAGGAAGGAGAUAAACUGAGACACUAAUCAAGUGAAAAAUGAUGGGGGCUUUAGCCAAUGCAGUCACAGUUUUGGCAAGGACAUGUCCUUAGCACAUACAAGUCUCAAAUAAAAAAUGAUUCACUAUAUAAUGCAUCUCAGUAAAAUGCCAAUGCCCACCAUCAUCUGUGUCUAAAAAUUUAUAUUAGAUGCUCUAAAUGUGCUGCUUGAGAAACAUAGGUUCAAAAUAUUCACCAUUAGCUUAGCUGGAGUUUUGAGAAAAGGUGCUUUAUUCUUCCAUAUACAUCCAUAUUUAUUGCUCUACUUCCUCCUUUAUUCUGCAUAUUUUCCUGCAAAAUAUCCCUAAUCUCAAACUAGUUUUGAAACUCAAUGACUAAAUCCACUGAUGGUUUAGUUUAGAAUUCAUAUCUACAUUAGGAUCUUUGAAUAACAGCAACAUUUUCCAUCUUCCAGUAAUACUAUAAUCCUUCUUUAGGUUGCUCAGUAUUGGAUGUGAUUAUACUACUUUUUAUCCAGAUUGCAAUUAAUACAAUCAUGUAACACAUUAUUAAUGCCAGCUAGUGGUCUUAGCAUAUUAUAGUAUAAAUUUUCACAAGUUUUCUAUAUUUAUAAAUGCCUUUUCAACAUCCAAACUGGGUAAAUAUUUCAUUGGAACGUCCAGUAUAUCAUUAUCAGUCCUGUUAAACAAGUCUGGUUAUUCUGCAAAUAAAACCCCGCUUGUCAUAAUCAUGAUAAAGAUAACGUGACCUUUCCAACCUUCUGCCCCUAGAUAUCAUUUUCAACCUCAGUCUAGCCAGUAAUUUUGUUUUGUUUUGUUUUGUCUUUGAGUUGGAGUGUCUCUCUGUCACCCAGGCUGGAGUGCAGUGGCAUCAUCAUCAUAGCUCGCUACAGCCUUGAACUCCUGGGCUCAAGCGAUCCUCCUGCCUUCGCCUCCCAGGGAGCUGAAACCACAGAGGUUAUAUGAAUAGACAGUGAGAUGGCAGCCAUCUCCAAACCAGGAAGAAGGCUUUCACUAAGAACCAAAUCCAUCAGCACCUUCAUCUUGGACUUCCUAGCCUCCAGAUCUAUUAGAAAUAAAUGUCUAUUGUUUAACCCAUCCAGUCUGUGGUGUUUUGUUAUGGAAACCCAAGUUAAGACUGACAGGAAGUGGAA